Molecule: ribosomal RNA, 253 nt
Filed under: uncultured bacterium
Lineage: Bacteria
Description: partial 16S ribosomal RNA
Rfam family: Bacterial small subunit ribosomal RNA
Source: RNAcentral
UACAUGGGGUGCAAACGUUGCUCGGAAUUAUUGGGCGUAAAGGGCGCGUAGGCGGCCCGGUAAGUCAAAGGUGAAAUCCCUCGGCUCAACUGAGGAACUGCCUUUGAAACUGUCGGGCUUGAGGCCGGGAGGGGGUAGCGGAAUUCCCAGUGUAGCGGUGAAAUGCGUAGAUAUUGGGAGGAACACCGGUGGCGAAGGCGGCUACCUGGACCGGUUCUGACGCUGAUGAGCGAAAGCAUGGGGAGCGAACAGG